UUACAUAACACGGGGAGCCCAUAACCCAUGGGCUGAGAGGAGGGAAGGAAGGCCCUCGACCCGAAGAACCUGAUCCGGGUAAUGCCGGCGGAGGGAUGGUUAUUACGAAAUGCU
Molecule: non-coding RNA, 114 nt
Filed under: Anaerolineae bacterium
Lineage: Bacteria; Bacillati; Chloroflexota; Anaerolineae
Description: TPP sequence
Rfam family: TPP riboswitch aptamer (THI element)
About the family: Vitamin B(1) in its active form thiamin pyrophosphate (TPP) is an essential coenzyme that is synthesised by coupling of pyrimidine and thiazole moieties in bacteria. The previously detected thiamin-regulatory element, thi box was extended, resulting in a new, highly conserved RNA secondary structure, the THI element, which is widely distributed in eubacteria and also occurs in some archaea. Analysis of operon structures identified a large number of new candidate thiamin-regulated genes, mostly transporters, in various prokaryotic organisms.
Source: RNAcentral